RNAcentral lists this transfer RNA (71 nucleotides) under Methanobacteriota archaeon. RNAcentral's name for it is "Euryarchaeota archaeon tRNA-Tyr". It matches the Rfam family "tRNA". From Rfam's summary of the family: Transfer RNA (tRNA) molecules are approximately 80 nucleotides in length. Their secondary structure includes four short double-helical elements and three loops (D, anti-codon, and T loops). Lineage: Archaea; Methanobacteriati; Methanobacteriota. The record is from RNAcentral.
UUAGCUCAGUUGGCUAGAGCACCUGACUGUAGAUCAGGGGGUCCCCGGUUCAAGUCCGGGAGCGCGGACCA